This 433-nucleotide ribosomal RNA is filed under the name uncultured bacterium. RNAcentral describes it as "partial 16S ribosomal RNA". It matches the Rfam family "Bacterial small subunit ribosomal RNA", at positions 28 to 507 of the family's 1533-position model. The record is from RNAcentral.
GACGAACGCUGGCGGCAGGCUUAAUACAUGCAAGUCGAGCGGGCACUUCGGUGUCAGCGGCGCACGGGUGCGUAACGCGUGGGAACAUGCCCUUAGGUACGGAACACCCAAGGGAAACUUUGGCUAAUACCGUAUAAUAUCUCUGGAUCAAAGAUCUAUCGCCUAAAGAUUGGCCCGCGUUAGAUUCGGUAGUUGGUGGGGUAAUGGCCUACCAAGCCGACGAUCUAUAGGGGGUCUGAGAGGAUGAUUCCCCACACUGGAACUGAGACACGGUCCAGACUCCUACGGGAGGCAGGAGUAAGGAAUAUUGGACAAUGGGGGAAGGCCUGAUCCAGCCGUGCCGGGUGAGUGAUGAAGGCCUUAGGGUUGUAAAGCUCUUUUAGAUGGGAAGAUAAUGACGGUACCAGCAGAAUAAGCCCCGGCUAAAUUCGUG